CCUGGCUGCCCCGAGCAGACCGUUGCCCGCCGCCCCCACAGACGCUACCCCCUGGUGCUUGCCAGGCAGCACGCUGCCAGGCGGACUCCGAGGCGGCACCGGCGCUGCUGCUACAACGGAUGCGCCUACACCUGCCUGGAAGCCGUGCCGCCCCCACCAGGUGGGCGAAUCCUGAGACACAAAUUUUACAAAGAAUAUCCAGCUGGGUUGCAAGAACAUUUAUCCACACUUUCUGCUAAGCCUUGGAAAUAGUUGGGAAAAGUAGUUUGACCCUCAACGUUCACAUUCAGCUCAGCAGAGCAAGACCCCAGA
RNAcentral lists this long non-coding RNA (312 nucleotides) under Callithrix jacchus (white-tufted-ear marmoset). RNAcentral's name for it is "lncRNA (ENSCJAG00000072395.1)". Lineage: Eukaryota; Metazoa; Chordata; Mammalia; Primates; Cebidae. The record is from RNAcentral.